CCUACGGGUGGCAGCAGUGGGGAAUAUUGGACAAUGGGGGCAACCCUGAUCCAGCCAUGCCGCGUGUGUGAAGAAGGCCCUCGGGUUGUAAAGCACUUUCAGUGAGGAAGAACGCCUGGUGGUUAAUACCCAUCAGGAAAGACAUCACUCACAGAAGAAGCACCGGCUAACUCCGUGCCAGCAGCCGCGGUAAUACGGAGGGUGCGAGCGUUAAUCGGAAUUACUGGGCGUAAAGCGCGCGUAGGUGGCUUGAUAAGCCGGUUGUGAAAGCCCCGGGCUCAACCUGGGAACGGCAUCCGGAACUGUCAAGCUAGAGUGCAGGAGAGGAAGGUAGAAUUCCCGGGGUAGCGGUGAAAUGCGUAGAGAUCGGGAGGAAUACCAGUGGCGAAGGCGGCCUUCUGGACUGACACUGACACUGAGGUGCGAAAGCGUGGGUAGCAAACAGGAUUAGAUACCCCUGUAGUC
RNAcentral lists this ribosomal RNA (465 nucleotides) under Vreelandella stevensii. Its description in RNAcentral is "partial 16S ribosomal RNA". It matches the Rfam family "Bacterial small subunit ribosomal RNA", at positions 338 to 795 of the family's 1533-position model. Lineage: Bacteria; Pseudomonadati; Pseudomonadota; Gammaproteobacteria; Oceanospirillales; Halomonadaceae. The record is from RNAcentral.